Molecule: long non-coding RNA, 206 nt
Organism: Rhodamnia argentea
Lineage: Eukaryota; Viridiplantae; Streptophyta; Magnoliopsida; Myrtales; Myrtaceae
Exons: 2
Source: RefSeq, a predicted model, not a curated record
CCUCUCCCUUUCUCGAGCCAUCGAAGAUUUGAACUUCGAAGGUCGUUAAAUUUCGAGUCUCGUGCAAUUAGAAGGGAGGCUCGAGAUAAGCUGUAUGCAUGUGGUUUUUCAAUUGGCAAUUUGUGUUUGUUUCAUCACAUCAUGAUUUGUGAUUAGGAUGAUUGGCUUAUUAUGAGAAUGAUGGAAUUUAUGUUUAUGGGUUAGAA